Molecule: ribosomal RNA, 301 nt
Filed under: uncultured bacterium
Lineage: Bacteria
Description: partial 16S ribosomal RNA
Rfam family: Bacterial small subunit ribosomal RNA
Source: RNAcentral
CAGUAGCCACGGGAAUACGAAGGGGGCUAGCGUUGCUCGGAAUGACUGGGCGUAAAGGGCGCGUAGGCGGCGGCCAAAGUCAGGCGUGAAAUUCCCGGGCUCAACCUGGGGGCUGCGUUUGAUACUUGGUUGCUUGAGUGGGGAAGAGGGUCGUGGAAUUCCCAGUGUAGAGGUGAAAUUCGUAGAUAUUGGGAAGAACACCGGUGGCGAGGGCGGCAACCUGGUCCUUGACUGACGCUGAGGCGCGAAAGCGUGGGGAGCAAACAGGAUUAGAUACCCCUGUAGUCCCUGUCUCUUAUAC